CCCUUAGAUGUCCUGGGCUGCACGCGCGCUACACUGAUGUGUCCAGUAAGCACCUAACCUCUUCCGAAAGGAACGGGUAACCUUUGCAAAGCACAUCGUGAUGGGGAUAGAUUAUUGCAAUUAUUAGUCUUGAACGAGGAAUUCCUAGUAAGCACAAGUCAUUAGCUUGUGUUGAUUACGUCCCUGCCCUUUGUACACACCGCCCGUCGCUCCUACCGAUUGAAUGUUCCGGUGAGCUCUUCGGACUGCGCGGUCUGCAGUUUCUGCGUUCCGUGCGGAAAGUUGCGCAAACCUUAACAUUUAGAGGAAGGAGAAGUCGUAACA
Molecule: ribosomal RNA, 324 nt
Filed under: uncultured eukaryote
Lineage: Eukaryota
Description: partial 18S ribosomal RNA
Rfam family: Eukaryotic small subunit ribosomal RNA
Source: RNAcentral